RNAcentral lists this ribosomal RNA (253 nucleotides) under uncultured bacterium. Its description in RNAcentral is "partial 16S ribosomal RNA". It matches the Rfam family "Bacterial small subunit ribosomal RNA", at positions 524 to 776 of the family's 1533-position model. The record is from RNAcentral.
UACGUAGGCAGCGAGCGUUGUUCGGAAUUACUGGGCGUAAAGAGUGUGUAGGCGGUGCUCUAAGUCUGUCGUGAAAUCUCCCGGCUUAACUGGGAGGGUGCGGCGGAAACUGGAGUGCUAGAGGGUGGGAGAGGAAAGCGGAAUUCCUGGUGUAGCGGUGAAAUGCGUAGAUAUCGAGAGGAACACCUGCGGCGAAGGCGGGUUGCUGGGCCGACACUGACGCUGAUGCGCGAAAGCCAGGGGAGCGAACGGG